This 277-nucleotide unclassified non-coding RNA is filed under the name uncultured fungus. RNAcentral describes it as "partial contains small subunit ribosomal RNA, internal transcribed spacer 1, and 5.8S ribosomal RNA". The stretch from base 1 to 73 matches the Rfam family "Eukaryotic small subunit ribosomal RNA", at positions 1759 to 1831 of the family's 1831-position model. Lineage: Eukaryota; Fungi. The record is from RNAcentral.
ACAAACUUGGUCAUUUAGAGGAAGUAAAAGUCGUAACAAGGUCUCCGUUGGUGAACCAGCGGAGGGAUCAUUACCGAGUUAACAAACUCCCAAACCCCUGUGAACUAUACCAAUUGUUGCUUCGGCGGUGCCCUCGCCCCCCGCGGUGAGGGUCCGCCAGAGGACCAAAAACUUUUGAAACCUUUGUAUCGUUGGCACCUCUGAGUGAUGAUAAAACAAAUAAAUCAAAACUUUCAACAACGGAUCUCUUGGCUCUGGCAUCGAUGAAGAACGCAGC